AUUUAUUUUGAAUACGAAUACGAAUUUGGAUCAUGUAAAACGAAUUCAAAUUUGUCCAAUUAAGGUACCAUAUUAGAAACGAAUGUGGUUACCAAUAUCCAUAUAUCACAUUUUAGUGGAUACGAAUUCAGAUAUCUGCCUACCACUUUCCACUCCUAUCAGUUACCAUUUUAAAUCAGUUUUGUAACAAAACAAAUGCGUGUGCAACACUCAUACGAACUCCACAUCCUUUCUCUAAUAAGCUAGUACGUGCCUGCCAACAAAACCCACUAAUACCAUCGCUCUCAGGUGGAGAGUGGAGACUUUAACGUUAUGAGAAAUGACAUUAUGAGAAAAAGUAAAGAGAAAAAAGAUAAUAAAUUGAGUUUCAAUGACCGAUGGGCUUUCUUGUUCAAUGUGGUGACUAAUAGCUUUGAUCUUAUAGGGAAAUAGUCUUGAAUAUUGUCUGUUCACACUAGUAGAAAAAUGACCUUCCAUCCCCAAUAAAAAUCUCAGUUAUUUUUGGACUCGGGACUAAAGAGACUCUACUCGCGGUUGGUCACACAAACCGGGAUUAAAGGUGAUCCUGAAUAAAAAGCUCGUUCGUGGAGACACCUUUAGUCCUGGUUGGUAACACCCAUUGGGACUCAAGGUGAUCCUUUAGUCCCGGUUGGUGUUACAAACCCGUACUAAAGUCUUCGUGGGCUUUACUCCCAAUUAGUAAUACCAACCAGGACUCAAGGGUGCCCUUUAAGACUAAUGGGUCCCCCACGAGUUACUACAAAAGGAUUGCAUCCUGUACUCAGUCAGAUGUGUUGUGUAGGUGAGAUGGUAAGGAAGCUACGCGCUAGGCUUGCGGUCCUGGGAUCGAAUCCCAUGCACUGCACACACGCAUAUUUCGCGUGAAAAAUCACGUGACUUGUCACUUGUGACAUGCGUGUGGGGUGGUGCCUCGCGCUUGGGGGCUAGGUACGUAUUUCAACUCGGCUUGCCUCGUGGCUCCACCAGUCCUCGUGCUUGGAGGGCUGUGCGUCUAUUUCUGGUCGACGUGCCUCCUUGGCUCUGCUAGUACUCGCGCUCAGGGGCUGGGUGCCUAUUUUAGCUCGGCUUGCCUCCGUGGUUCCGCCAGUCCUCGCGCUUGGGGGUUGGGCAUCUAUUUCAGGUUGACGUGCCUGCUUGGCUCCACUAGUUCUUGCGCUCGGGAGUUGGAUGCCUACUUCAGGUUGGCGUGCCUCCUCGGCUCUGCAAGUCCUCGCACUCUUGGGGUGGACACCUAUUUUAGGUCGGCGUGCCUCUACAGCUCCGCCAGUCCUCACGCUUUGGGGCUGGAUGCCUAUUUCAGGUCGGCAUGCCUCCGCGGCUCCGGCAGUCCUCGCGCUCGGGACUGGGCGCCUACUUCAGGUUGGCGUGCCUCCAUGGCUCUGCUAGUCCUCGCAGAAUAUUAAAGGCUAGUGUCAGUUGAAUAAAGCAAAGACUUCUGCCAUGCAUUCAAGCUAUUCAGUGUAUCUAGACUAUAGUUUACUCAUAUAUGAUUGUGUGAUGAAUCUACAUAUGUUUAAAUGAGUGCACUAUGUAAUAUUUCAAUGAGUGUACUCAUAUGAUGAAUAUUUUAAAAAUAUUGUAAUAAAUAAGUAAAUAUUAAUCAAUAAAUAUAAAUUGGUAAAUAAAAUCAUAAAAAGUAUUUAACAGUAAUAAAAUAAAUUAUUUGAAGUAAUUUACACCAAAAAAAUAUAAAUUUCAAAAUAACUUAAAAUAAUAUAUCUAUUUUAUGGUUCUAAGGUCUUUAUGCUAUAAGAAUGCAGAUAAUAUCGGAUACCCAUCCACAUUUAUUUUGAAUACGAAUACAAAUUUGGAUCAUGUAAAACGAAUUCAAAUGUUUCCAAUUAAGGUACCAUAUUAGAAACGAAUGUGGUUACGAAUAUCCAUAUAUCACAUUUUAGCGGAUAGACAUCUGCCUACACUUUCCACGCCUAUCAGUUACCAUUAUAAAUCAGUUUUGUAACAAAAUAAAUGCGUGUGCAACACUAAUACGAACUCCACAUUCUUUCUCUAAUAAGCUAGUACGUGCCUGCCAACAAAACCUACUACCAACGGUCUCAGGUGGAGAGUGGAGACUUUAACAUUAUGAGAAAUAGUAAAGAGAAAAAAGAUAAUAGAUUGAGUUUCAAUGACCGAUGGGCUUUCUUGUUCAAUGUGGUGACUAAUAGCUUUGAUCUUAUAGGGAAAUAGUCUUGACGGUUGUCUGUUCAUGUGGGCAAACACUCUCACCCCAGCUCACCUAUGAAAAGCUUGAUAGGGUUCUAAUGGC
RNAcentral lists this long non-coding RNA (2287 nucleotides) under Setaria viridis. Its description in RNAcentral is "long non-coding RNA (SVIR_LNC009751)". Lineage: Eukaryota; Viridiplantae; Streptophyta; Magnoliopsida; Poales; Poaceae. The record is from RNAcentral.